Molecule: small RNA, 29 nt
Filed under: Bombyx mori (domestic silkworm)
Lineage: Eukaryota; Metazoa; Arthropoda; Insecta; Lepidoptera; Bombycidae
Description: ovarian small RNA-14543
Source: RNAcentral
CGUAUCGUUGCUCCAGGAGCCGUAUGUGG